GUCCACGCCCUAAACUAUGUCAACUGGUUGUCGGGGAAGCAAUUCCUUGGUAACGAAGCUAACGCGUGAAGUUGACCGCCUGGGGAGUACGGCCGCAAGGUUAAAACUCAAAGGAAUUGACGGGGACCCGCACAAGCGGUGGAUUAUGUGGAUUAAUUCGAUGCAACGCGAAAAACCUUACCUACCCUUGACAUGUACGGAAUCCCCCCAGAGAUGGGGGAGUGCCCGAAAGGGAACCGUAACACAGGUGCUGCAUGGCUGUCGU
This 265-nucleotide ribosomal RNA is filed under the name uncultured bacterium. Its description in RNAcentral is "partial 16S ribosomal RNA". It matches the Rfam family "Bacterial small subunit ribosomal RNA", at positions 793 to 1055 of the family's 1533-position model. The record is from RNAcentral.